RNAcentral lists this ribosomal RNA (107 nucleotides) under uncultured bacterium. RNAcentral describes it as "partial 16S ribosomal RNA". The record is from RNAcentral.
UGAAGGCCUUCGGGUUGUAAACUGCUUUUGUACGGAACGAAACGGUCUGCCUUAAUACGGUGGGCUAAUGACGGUACCGUAAGAAUAAGCACCGGCUAACUACGUGC